AUCUGCAGUCGAGGGGCAGCGCAGUGUAGCAAUACAUGGGCGGCGACCGGCAAACGGGUGCGGAACACGUACGCAACCUUCCUUCAAGCGGGGGAUAGCUUUCGGAAACGAAAAUUAAUACCCCAUAGCAAUAUCUGAGGGCAUCUGAGGAUAUUUAAAGAUUUAUCACUUGAAGAUGGGCGUGCGGCUGAUUAGGUAGUUGGCGGGGUAACGGCCCACCAAGCCUACGAUCAGUAACUGGUGUGAGAGCACGACCAGUCACACGGGCACUGAGACACGGGCCCGACUCCUACGGGAGGCAGCAGUAAGGAAUAUUGGUCAAUGGACGCAAGUCUGAACCAGCCAUGCCGCGUGGAGGAUGAAGGUCCUCUGGAUUGUAAACUUCUUUUAUCGGAGAAGAAACCCCUGAAUUCUUUUAGGGUUGACGGUACCCGAUGAAUAAGCACCGGCUAACUCCGUGCCAGCAGCCGCGGUAAUACGGAGGGUGCAAGCGUUAUCCGGAUUCACUGGGUUUAAAGGGUGCGUAGGCGGGUUGGUAAGUCAGUGGUGAAAUCUUCAAGCUUAACUUGGAAACUGCCGUUGAUACUAUCAAUCUUGAAUAUUGUGGAGGUAAGCGGAAUAUGUCAUGUAGCGGUGAAAUGCUUAGAUAUGACAUAGAACACCGAUAGCGAAGGCAGCUUGCUACACAAUAAUUGACGCUGAGGCACGAAAGCGUGGGGAUCAAACAGGAUUAGAUACCCUGGUAGUCCACGCCCUAAACGAUGGAUACUCGACAUACGCGAUACACAGUGUGUGUCUGAGCGAAAGCAUUAAGUAUCCCACCUGGGAAGUACGACCGCAAGGUUGAAAC
RNAcentral lists this ribosomal RNA (850 nucleotides) under uncultured bacterium. RNAcentral describes it as "bacterial SSU rRNA". It matches the Rfam family "Bacterial small subunit ribosomal RNA", at positions 53 to 900 of the family's 1533-position model. The record is from RNAcentral.